GACGAACGCUGGCGGCGUGCUUAACACAUGCAAGUCGAACGGACAGGCCCUGCUUUUGUUUGUUUCUCGUUUGCCGCACGGGUGAGUAACACGUGAGUAUCCUCCCCUUGACUUUCUGAUAACUUCUCGAAACUGGGGCUAUUACCGCAUAUGAUCUCCUGCUCCAUGUUGUGCGUUGGAAAGUUUCGGCGGUUGGGGAUGGACUCGCGGCUUAUCAGCUUGUUUGUGUGGUAGUGGCUUACCAAGGCUUUGACGGGUAGCCGGCCUGAGAGGGUGACCGGCAACAUUGGGACUGAGAGACGGACCAGAAUCCUACGGGAGGCAGCAGGGGGGAAUAUUGCAGAAUGGGCGGAAGCCUGAUGCAGCAACGCCGGGUGCGGGAUGACGGCCUUCGGGUGGUAAACAGCUUUCGCCUGUGACGAAGAGAGAGUGACGGUAAUGGGUAAAGAAGCACCGGCUAACUACGUG
Molecule: ribosomal RNA, 468 nt
Filed under: uncultured bacterium
Lineage: Bacteria
Description: partial 16S ribosomal RNA
Rfam family: Bacterial small subunit ribosomal RNA
Source: RNAcentral